GACCACUCUCUAUAGGAAGCCCGGGGCUGAAUUCUGAGCUGAAUGGAGCGCUGGACUGUGAAUUCUUUGAGUGCAGACCUAAAGAAGGAAGGACUUGCUUUGGGGUCUCACUAAGUUGCAAUGAAUGACAUUUAACUUGUAAGUCUCCUGCCUCAGUCUCCCAAGUGAUGCCCAUGAUGCCCAGCUGCAACUAUCUUCUUUUUAUGAAGCAGUGGGAAUUGAAUUUUGGACCCUGUGCUCACCAGGCAGGUGCAGCGCCACAGCUACAUUUCCAAUCCUAUGCUGCUAUUCUGAAGGCCCAAGUGGCUGCAAGAGAAGAAGUGGAAUGGGAUGUGGAAACAUCUUCCAGAAGUGAAGGGUAGGCUCUCCAGCGUCUACAACAGCGUGGGCACAAGUCAAUGAACAGAUGACCAAACGAGAUGGUAGACAGUGGCAACACCAUAUAGUACUGUGACAGGGUGCGCACAGGGAGUCACUGGAGCCCAGAGGAGUCAGCCACCCAGCAUAAUAAUGGAAGACAAUGGAUACUGAAGCUGGCUACACAAAGGCUGUUUCUUCCCACUAGAAGCAGAAGAGGAUGUUGGAGAGACUGAAGGCAUGAGAAGGCCUUAAGACACCCAUGCUGUGUGGAGAGAGAGAGGGCCACGCAACAAGGAAUGUGGGUGGCUCUAGCACAGAGCGUGGGCUUUGGCUGACAGCCAGUGAGGAUGUGGACUCUGACAAGUCCUGGAUGAGCUCGGAAGUGAUUCUUCUCCACAGGCACCAGUACUGGGCUGUGAACCCAGGGCCUCACACAUGCUGGGCAAGCACUCUACUACUGAGGUUCACCCAGGCCUGGCAAGGGAUGAGAGUCAGGGUCACGGCUGAGACCUGCCAAGCUCUACCGUACUCUCUCUGAGAAACUGCCAGAUCAGACCAGUAGCCUGAUCAAUUUCCUGACAAAGUUGGCCCCAUUUCUGAGCCCCAACAAUGCCUGGAUUCACCACAAGGGGGCUCCAAGCACCAGUUCCUGAGGCCAGAACUUUCAGGCCUUUGCAAAGCUGGAGGCCAAGAUCCCUAAGGGUCAGGUACCAGUGAGGAAUCUCUGAGCCUUGGCCUGCAGAUGACCCAGAGGCAUGGAGGAAACCCAGAAGCCUGAAGAGGUCAGGGGCUUGUGAAGCAGUCACCAGGAGAGGAAUGCCUUUCUAUGAGAGAGAAACCAGCAAUGCCAGCUGUGGGAGCCGGGCAAGGUACUCUGAGCUCCAUCAGCUCCUUCAUAAAGCCACACCCCAAUCCUGCAAGGCAGGAAUUAUCACCCCACCCACAACCACUUUCAGGGUGUCAAAAGUAUGGCUUGAGAUGAUUUGCCCAAUGUCACGUGGCCUGCUCCAGUUCACUCUGGGCUUGUGUGACAAGGAUCCUUCUUGCUAUUAUUCAGACAGCCUCUGGUCCCUGAGCACCGACUUCCUUGGAGAAACUGAGGCAGUAAAGAAGGGCAUACCUGCAGUUGCUGUAGCUCACUCAUGUUGCUUUCGCAUUGAGCCAGCAUGUCCCGCAUCUGGUUCUCAUGUUUUUGUUGCUGCUGCAGCCGCUCUGACUUCUGCCUCUUCUCCUCCUGCUGGGAGAACUGCACAAGACAGAGCUUGGGUGCCUCGGGGCCAGAGGCCCUGCUUGGUUGGGGCACCUACCUUACCUUGCCCCCGGGAAGCCAGCAGAGGGACUGGUCUGGGCACAGCCCAAGUGUCCAGCACAGCCUCGGGCUCUACCCCUAUGGUUUUGUUCCUUUUGUUUUGUUGUGGUGCUGCGUACUGAACACAGGGCCUCCAACAUGACAGGCAAGUGCUCUACCCCUGAGCAACCACUGACUGAAGUCGUCACUCUGAGCUGGCACCCAGGUCCUGCCCUAAGAUUGGAGGGGACCUGACACUGUAAUGUGACAUGUGCUAGGACAGGGUGCACAGGGAUCACGGAUGCCUCGGCCACACACAUGAUGUGUUAGUGGGGCCUUGGUGGAUGAAAGAAGGGGCUGACCAGCAGAGGAAGCUGCAGUAUAAAAGUACUAGUGUGGGAAAGGGAUGGUGUGUGACAAAGUCCACAGCACAAUGCCACACCCCUUGUGUUCACCAGGCCUGGAUUCACUGUGGGGCUGAUGAAGCUUCCAGGCUAUGACUUGUGACUUGCACAAGAUCUCAUGCACACCCCCCACCCAAGAUCUCAUGCUACAUCUUAUAUUUUAUAUUCUCCCAAAUACGAGGUCCGGGCCCCACCACUCCUGUUUCUGUGCCCACUCCUACAUGGCCCUGGGCACCAGGCCCAGCUCCCACCUGCUUGAUCUUCUCGCGCUGCUCAGAGGCACUGCCCCCUCCAUUGAUGUGCAGAC
Molecule: long non-coding RNA, 2359 nt
Organism: Fukomys damarensis (Damara mole-rat)
Lineage: Eukaryota; Metazoa; Chordata; Mammalia; Rodentia; Bathyergidae
Exons: 7
Source: RefSeq, a predicted model, not a curated record